RNAcentral lists this ribosomal RNA (2111 nucleotides) under Chloromonas radiata. RNAcentral's name for it is "partial 26S ribosomal RNA". It matches the Rfam family "Eukaryotic large subunit ribosomal RNA", at positions 38 to 2192 of the family's 3401-position model. The record is from RNAcentral. Lineage: Eukaryota; Viridiplantae; Chlorophyta; Chlorophyceae; Chlamydomonadales; Chlamydomonadaceae.
GCAUAUCAAUAAGCGGAGGAAAAGAAACCAACCAGGAUUCCCCUAGUAACGGCGAGCGAACCGGGAAAAGCCCAACAUGAAAAUCUCCCUUUGGAGAAUUGUAGUCUAUAGAGGCGCCCUCUGCGGCUGUGAGAGUUUAAGUUCGCUGGAAAGCGGCGUCAAAGAGGGUGAGAACCCCGUAAACUCUUUUUCAGCUGCACCACGAGGUGCUUUCCACGAGUCGGGUUGUUUGGGAAUGCAGCCCUAAAUUGGAGGUAAAUCCCUUCUAAGGCUAAAUACUGGCGAGAGACCGAUAGCGAACAAGUACCGUGAGGGAAAGAUGAAAAGCACUUUGAAAAGAGAGGUAAUAGCGCUUGAAAUUGUUGANUGGGAAGCGUUUAAAAGCCGUGAGUGCGCCUAGGCUUAUGCGUCUCUAACGAGCCGCUGCAUGUGCUANGUGCUGGUCAGCAUGGGUUCGAGGUGGCGGGAAAAAAGCUGGGGUUGAUACCCGGCCGAUGCCGUCCCUUGGACCGAGGAAUUUAAGUCCGCUCCGUCCUUCGGGAACUGCGGUUUAAAGAUGCUGGCAAAAGGCUUUUAACCGGCCCGUCUUGAAACACGGACCAAGGAGUCUAACAUGUAUGCGAGUCGGUGGGUGAAAAACCCAUCGGCGCAAGUAACCUGACUGGUGGGAGGGCGCAAGCCUGCACCAUCGACCGACCAUGAUUUUCUAUGAAAGGUUUGAGUGCGAGCAUACCUGUUGGGACCCGAAAGAUGGUGAACUAUGCCUGAGCAGGGCGAAGCCAGAGGAAACUCUGGUGGAGGCUCGUAGAUGUGCUGACGUGCAAAUCGCUUUUCGGACUUGGGUAUAGGGGCGAAAGACUAAUCGAACCAUCUAGUAGCUGGUUCCCUCCGAAGUUUCCCCCAGGAUAGCAGGAGCUUGAUUCAGUUUUAUCGGGUAAAGCGAAUGAUUAGAGGUUCGGGGGAUGAAACAUCCUUCACCUAUUCUCAAACUUUAAAUAGGUAAGACGCGUAGGUUGCUUAACUGAACCUGCGCAAUCAAUGUAAGCUCCUAGUGGGCCAUUUUUGGUAAGCAGAACUGGCGACGCGGGAUGAACCGAUAGCUGAGUUAAGGUGCCAAACUACGCGCUAACCCAGAUCCCACAAAGGGUGUUGAUUGAUAUAGACAGCAGGACGGUGGUCAUGGAAGUCGAAAUCCGCUAAGGAGUGUGUAACAACUCACCUGCCGAAUCAAUUAGCCCCGAAAAUGGAUGGCGCUUAAGCGCGUGACCUAUACUCGGCAAUGGAAAGAAGUGCGAGCUUUCCAUUUGUAGGAGGGCGUGGGUGUCGUUGCGAAGCCUUGAGCGUGAGCUCGGGUGAAACGGCACCUAGUGCAGAUCUUGGUGGUAGUAGCAAAUAUUCAAAUGAGAACUUUGAAGACUGAAGUGGAGAAAGGUCCAUGUGAACAGCAAUUGGACAUGGGUUAGUCGACCCUAAGAGAUGGGGAAAUCCUGUAUCAAGAGCGCGAUUCGCGCUGCCCAUCGAAAGGGAAGAGGGUUAAGAUUCCCUCACCUGGACAAGGCGGUUGACGGUAACGUAAGCGAGCCCAGAAACAUCGGCAUUGGCCCUGGAAAGAGUUCUCUUUUCUUUUUAACAGCUCGAAGGCCCUGGAAUCGGAUCAUCCGGCGAUAGGGCCCAGUAGCUGGUAAAGCACCGCACUUCUCGCGGUGUCCGGAGCGCCAAUGACGGUCCUGGAAAAUCUGGGGGAGCGAUUACCGAUCUUGCCAGNNNNNNNNNNNNNNNNNNNNNNNNNNNNNNNNNNNNNNNNNNNNNNNNNNNNNNNNNNNNUAGAUAAGGGAAGUCGGCAAAACAGUAUCCGUAACUUCGGGAAAAGGAUUGGCUCUGAGGGCUGGGCCUAGGGAUCUGCGUUCAGAAACCGAGGGCUGUCGGCUGUCUGCUCGAGCUGGGCAACUGGCGAGAGUGGACGGCUGCGUGCCCUCGGUGGACGGGCGUAGAAAGCUUCGGCGCUCCCUAGGCGACGAACAGCCAACUCAGAACUGGUACGGACAAGGGGAAUCCGACUGUUUAAUUAAAACAAAGCAUUGUGAUGGUCCUAAAGGAUGUUGACACAAUGU